UGGAGAGAUGGCUGAGCGGUCGAAAGCGGCGGUCUUGAAAACCGUUGUGUCCUCUGGGCACCGGGGGUUCGAAUCCCUCUCUCUCCGAC
Molecule: transfer RNA, 89 nt
Filed under: Aquicella siphonis
Lineage: Bacteria; Pseudomonadati; Pseudomonadota; Gammaproteobacteria; Legionellales; Coxiellaceae
Description: tRNA-Ser
Rfam family: tRNA
About the family: Transfer RNA (tRNA) molecules are approximately 80 nucleotides in length. Their secondary structure includes four short double-helical elements and three loops (D, anti-codon, and T loops).
Source: RNAcentral